RNAcentral lists this non-coding RNA (28 nucleotides) under Homo sapiens (human). Lineage: Eukaryota; Metazoa; Chordata; Mammalia; Primates; Hominidae. The record is from RNAcentral.
UGGCCACAUCCCUAUUAACAGAGGCAGC